Molecule: long non-coding RNA, 1544 nt
Organism: Bos taurus (domestic cattle)
Lineage: Eukaryota; Metazoa; Chordata; Mammalia; Artiodactyla; Bovidae
Source: Ensembl
AUGUCGUCCCUCAUAAGGGACAAGACGUUUGUACAGUGAAGGCGAGUGUCAGAUGGAGCAGUAAUCGUCAGAUGUCACGUGGAAGGUGCCUCACCCAUGUUCCUGUGGGAGAUCCCUGAGGGGACCAUAGAGAUGCAUCCCCCCCACCCCCAGGGGAAAGCUGCUGUCUGGUUGCCUCCCUGGAUGAAACAGAUCAACAGUAUAGAGAAAACUAAAAACAGGGGCCAAGGAGGAGGAACGGGAGCCAGGGAGUAAAGAAGACGCCAUGUGUCCAUUCUGGGGCGAGUCCCAGAGCCGGGAGGCAAUUCACAGAACCGGACGAGCAGGGCUGUGGCAUUCCCCUUGUCCGAAAGGGGCAAGCGCUCCUCUGCGCCUGCCGUUUGUUGCAGGGCAGGUCAGCUGUUACCAGAUCUUCAGGUUUUCUUUUCUUUCUUUUUUUUGAUGUAAAUCAUUUUGAAACUCUUUACUGAAUUCAUUACCGUGUGGCUUCCUUUUUAUGCUUUGUUCUUUUGGCCGCAAGGCACGUGGGGUCUCAGCUCCCCGACCAGAGAUUCAGCUCACACUUCGUGUGCUGGAAGGUGGUCUCAACCACUGGACUGUCAGGAAGUCCCCAGGUUUUCAAAAGAAGCCAGACUGCUGGAUUUUGGUGUGAAGCUAUGCCAUUUUUGAAACACAAUGUACAUUUUGAAUAGAUUCUGUUCCGGGUUUUUGAACACCUGAAAAUAAAACUAUUCUUUGAGUCAAAAACGAUGGUACAGUUUUGAGAUUUGCCCGAGCUGCCACCAGGGGGUAGGGAAGAGACGUCGCAGAGUAUCACAAGUGGUGGAAGAAGAGCAGACGUUACAGGACUGUCUUUUCUGAAUCUGGCCCAUUUAAUGCACCAGGAGACUCGAGAGAUUCAGGUUCAAUCCCUUGGUCAGGGAGAUCCCCUGGGGAAGGAAAUGGCAGUCCACUCCAGUAUUGUUGCCUGGAAAAUUCCAUGGAUAGAGGAGCCUGGUGGUCUACAGGAAGUACUCUGGAGCUAAUGCAUGGGGGCUGGGAAAGACCCUGCCUGUGGGUCUCUGGCACCCCAUUGACAUCAGAGCACCGAGUGGAGGGUUGCAGACUGCGGGGCAUCCAAAGGACCCAAGACAGGUUGGCUCUCCCCACAGUGCUUCUUCAUACCAUGUGGACUCCUACGAGGACAAUGAGCAUCACAACUUCCUUUGAAUUUGAUCUGGACAGGCCUGAUAAUCUAUGUGAGCCUGCUUCUGCUGACUCCAAAAGUCCUGAGUCUGCCGUUUGAUCCUCAAGACAAUGCCUUCCUGUCCUGGGCUCAUUCCUAUGCUGCCUUCCACAAUCAGUCUAACUGCUGGGUCUGCAGAGUGCUUCCCUUUUCAUCGGAGGGCUUCCCUAUGGUGGGCGUCUCCACUUCAAGGAAAGGACUUCCUCCAAGUCUGUGAAUACCUUCGACAACAACAAUCAUAUGUGAUGCCUCUUCUUAAUCUGAUGACAUCUAACAAUCCUAAAAUGGACUGGUGCAACACUCUGUACCUUAACUGUGG